AUGAAUAUCCUAAGCUGGAACUGCCGAGGGGGUGGGAACUCUCGGACAGUUCGUGAUCUUGUGAGUCUGGUGCAGGCUCAGUCCCCUAGUAUUGUUUUUCUUUGUGAGACUAGGCAGUCUAAGAAUAAAAUGAAGAGGUACCAUGCUCGGUUAGGUUUAAGAGGUUUUGAUGCUUUCGAUUGUGUGGGUCGUAGUGGAGGUCUUGCUUUGUAUUGGCAUGAGUCA
Molecule: ribosomal RNA, 225 nt
Filed under: Triticum aestivum (bread wheat)
Lineage: Eukaryota; Viridiplantae; Streptophyta; Magnoliopsida; Poales; Poaceae
Description: partial small subunit ribosomal RNA
Source: RNAcentral